Molecule: ribosomal RNA, 253 nt
Filed under: uncultured bacterium
Lineage: Bacteria
Description: partial 16S ribosomal RNA
Rfam family: Bacterial small subunit ribosomal RNA
Source: RNAcentral
UACGGAGGGUGCAAGCGUUGUCCGGAUUUAUUGGGUUUAAAGGGUGCGUAGGCGGUCUUUUAAGUCAGUGGUGAAAUCCUGCAGCUCAACUGUGGAACAGCCAUUGAUACUGAAAGACUUGAGUACAGACGAGGUAGGCGGAAUUUAUGGUGUAGCGGUGAAAUGCAUAAAUACCAUAAAGAACCCCUAUUGCGAAGGCAGCUUACUAGGCUGUAACUGACGCUGAGGCACGAAAGCGUGGGGAUCAAACAGG